This 500-nucleotide ribosomal RNA is filed under the name uncultured bacterium. Its description in RNAcentral is "partial 16S ribosomal RNA". It matches the Rfam family "Bacterial small subunit ribosomal RNA", at positions 30 to 523 of the family's 1533-position model. The record is from RNAcentral.
AUUGAACGCUGGUGGAAUGCUUUACACAUGCAAGUCGAACGGCAGCACGGACUUCGGUCUGGUGGCGAGUGGCGAACGGGUGAGUAAUACAUCGGAACGUGCCCAGUCGUGGGGGAUAACGUAGCGAAAGCUACGCUAAUACCGCAUACGAUCUAAGGAUGAAAGCGGGGGAUCGCAAGACCUCGCGCGAUUGGAGCGGCCGAUGGCAGAUUAGGUAGUUGGUAGGGUAAAGGCCUACCAAGCCGACGAUCUGUAGCUGGUCUGAGAGGACGACCAGCCACACUGGGACUGAGACACGGCCCAGACUCCUACGGGAGGCAGCAGUGGGGAAUUUUGGACAAUGGACGCAAGUCUGAUCCAGCCAUUCCGCGUGCAGGAUGAAGGCCCUCGGGUUGUAAACUGCUUUUGUACAGAACGAAAAGGCUCUGGUUAAUACCUGGAGCUCAUGACGGUACUGUAAGAAUAAGCACCGGCUAACUACGUGCCAGCCGCCGCAGUAA